AUUGAACGCUGGCGGCAUGCCCUACACAUGCAAGUCGAACGGUAACAGGCCGCAAGGUGCUGACGAGUGGCGAACGGGUGAGUAAUGCACCGGAACGUGCCCAGUCGUGGGGGAUAACUACUCGAAAGAGCAGCUAAUACCGCAUACGAUCUAUGGAUGAAAGCGUGGGACCGUAAGGCCUCGCGCGAUUGGAGCGGACGAUGUCAGAUUAGGUAGUUGGUGGGGUAAAGGCGCACCAAGCCAACGAUCUGUAGCUGGUCUGAGAGGACGACCAGCCACACUGGGACUGAGACACGGCCCAGACUCCUACGGGAGGCAGCAGUGGGGAAUUUUGGACAAUGGGGGGAAGCCUGAUCCAGCAAUGCCGCGUGCAGGAAGAAGGCCUUCGGGUUGUAAACUGCUUUUGUACGGAGCGAAACGGCUCUGGUUAAUACCCGGGGAUAAUGACGGUACCGGAAGAAUAAGCACCGGCUAACUACGUG
Molecule: ribosomal RNA, 482 nt
Filed under: uncultured bacterium
Lineage: Bacteria
Description: partial 16S ribosomal RNA
Rfam family: Bacterial small subunit ribosomal RNA
Source: RNAcentral